ACGCACGCUGGCGGCGUGCCUAAUACAUGCAAGUAGAACGCUGAAGAGAGGAGCUUCCUCUUCUUGGAUGAGUUGCGAACGGGUGAGUAACGCGUAGGUAACCUGCCUUGUAGCGGGGGAUAACUAUUGGAAACGAUAGCUAAUACCGCAUAACAAUGGAUGACACAUGUCAUUUAUUUGAAAGGGGCAAUUGCUCCACUACAAGAUGGACCUGCGUUGUAUUAGCUAGUAGGUGAGGUAAUGGCUCACCUAGGCGACGAUACAUAGCCGACCUGAGAGGGUGAUCGGCCACACUGGGACUGAGACACGGCCCAGACUCCUACGGGAGGCAGCAGUAGGGAAUCUUCGGCAAUGGGGGCAACCCUGACCGAGCAACGCCGCGUGAGUGAAGAAGGGUUUCGGAUCGUAAAGCUCUGUUGUAAGUCAAGAACGGGUGUGAGAGUGGAAAGUUCACACUGUGACGGUAGCUUACCAGAAAGGGACGGCUAACUACGUG
This 496-nucleotide ribosomal RNA is filed under the name uncultured bacterium. Its description in RNAcentral is "partial 16S ribosomal RNA". It matches the Rfam family "Bacterial small subunit ribosomal RNA", at positions 29 to 507 of the family's 1533-position model. The record is from RNAcentral.